GUCACCUAGGAAUCUUGUUAAAAUGCAGAUUCUCAUUCUGGGGUGAGGCCUAAGAUCCUGUUUUUUUUAACAAGCUUCCAUGUGAUGGAGA
RNAcentral lists this microRNA precursor (91 nucleotides) under Loxodonta africana (African savanna elephant). RNAcentral describes it as "mir-544 microRNA precursor family". It matches the Rfam family "mir-544 microRNA precursor family". The record is from Rfam by way of RNAcentral. Lineage: Eukaryota; Metazoa; Chordata; Mammalia; Proboscidea; Elephantidae.